CUUCUACUCCCUUCGUCCGGAAAUACAUGUCCGACAAAUGGAUAUAUCUAGAUGUGUAUUUUAGUUCUAGAUACAUCCAUUUGUAUAUAUUUCUAAGACAAAAAUUUCUGGACGGAGGGAGUACCUC
Molecule: non-coding RNA, 127 nt
Organism: Triticum urartu
Lineage: Eukaryota; Viridiplantae; Streptophyta; Magnoliopsida; Poales; Poaceae
Source: Rfam